Long non-coding RNA from Herpailurus yagouaroundi (jaguarundi), 1867 nucleotides. RefSeq lists it as uncharacterized. The record is from RefSeq and is a predicted model, not a curated record. NCBI's taxonomy places the organism in Eukaryota, Metazoa, Chordata, Mammalia, Carnivora, Felidae. The transcript has 3 exons.
CCUUCCCUGCUCUAUCUCUCAAAAUAAACAUUUUUUUAAAAAAAAGGAUCCUCAUCAAUACCUUGCCAUGAAAGAGAGACAGGUUGCCUCACUGACAGAUUGUAUACAUGCUGUUUACCUCUAGUACUAAAGCGGAAAAACAUUACCACCUUAGAGUCCUGGAAGAGAAGACAACAAUUAAUUAUGGAACAAUCCCUAAAACAUGGCAUCAGCAACUGAUACAGACUUUGUAAGAGACUUUCCUGCUCUCUCCUCAUUGGGAUGUCCACUUCUGGGCCUGUGUGUCCACCGGGUCCCAUCUCUGCCUGUGAUUCUAAUAGAAUCUUUUGCUUCUUCCAGGGACUUCAACAAGCUAAAACUUUCUACAGCUUGUUUGUCUGCUCUGACACGUACACCCUGACCUGUGAAAGGCCUGUGUUGAAGCAUUCAUGGACUAUCCACGGCUUCUCAGUUUAGGAUUACCACUGGGGAAAGUCCACGUAACAGCACAAAGAAGUCUUUGCCAGACAGUCGGAGUUCCAUGGCAGAGGGCAUACAGGGACUCUGAGCGGCUGAUUCCAGAAAGCUUAGCUUUAUACGAUCACCGUUUAGGGGAAGAAGGACCGGAAAUACAUUUGGACCUGCUGAGAGCUGGCAGAAAAAAAUCUUAAGAAGAUAAGGCAUUUUUGUUAACACUGCCACCAAAUCCCAAGACUGCCUGUGGCAUUAUUGACAAGUUACCAUACGGCGUUAUAUUCGCUUUGGGUGUACAAUGUGGCGAGCUGACAAUUCCAUACAUCAUUCAGUGCCCGUCAGGAUGAGUGGACUCUUAAUCCCCUUCAUGCGUUUCACCCAUCCCCCCCACCUCCCCUGCCCGCUGCUUUGAAACUUCUAUUUCCUUAAAAUAAAGCAAUUUUAUGUGAUAGGAGAAGCCUUUGAACCGACAUCCAAACUCGAAAUCCAUUGCCACUCUAGAAUGACCGGUUAAUGACUCUAUAAUGACAAUGAAAACACACGGUAUUACAGUCCCGGGCUGGAGGGUCUGGGUGCAUCUGUCACUGGUGGAGAGGGACUCUGCCAAGAAGCCAACACCGGCCCUGCUCUCUCAUCAAGGAGGCUGCUCAAUGUGCAACUCCGGGCUGUCCGCGAUGGCUGCCGCACUGACUGCUCGCGAGGCCCGCAGCCUGCUGUGGGGACCCAGGUAAGUAUUUUGUCCAAACUGACUUCUGAUCUUUCUUCCUGUGGGCUUGAACCUCGAAGCUGGAAGGGACCUCAGAGGGCAUGUAGUUUAACGAUUUUCAACCCUAGCUACUCCCUAGAAUCACACAAGGGGGGAGUUUGAAGUCCAGGUCCUACUCCAGACCAUCAGCUCACUGUCCUCGUUAUCUUACUUGAUUGUCACACGUGUCUGGAGAGUAGGUAUCACGGGCUCUGUUUACAGAGAGGCAAACAGAUGCUCGAUGAUGUUAAGUGGCAGUGCCCAAUAUGACACAGCUAAUUAAGUAGCGGAGCUGUGAUUUGAGCACAGGUCCUUCACUCCAUUUUGAAUGUGAGAACUUUCUCUGUUUUUAAAGCAGUGGAACCCUUGCUGUCACUGAGGGGAGCGGCCAGUCAUCAGGGGGGCAUGAUCUUCAGACCUCUCUGGUCGUUCACUCAGACUUCCUGAGAGAGGUGAGUUUGAUUCACGUCUCAACCUGCACUGGCUCUGUCCCUUCUCAGGAAGAAACCCACCAUGUUCUACAGGGCGAGAUCUCCCUUCUGUAGUGUGGUACCGCAGGCCCUUCGUCCUCAGGCCCCUGCUCCCUUCUCCAGCCUCAUUUCUUCCUCCUCAAUUUCGGCCUUUGUGCUAAAAAGUUGGUAGGAGCCAGAUGGAAGAACACUUGAAAUU